ACGGGGGCCCGCACAAGCGGUGGAGCGUGGUUUAAUUCGAAGCAACGCGAAGAACCUUACCAGGUCUUGACAUACUCGUGCUAUCCUUAGAGAUAAGGAGUUCCUUCGGGACACGGGAUACAGGUGGUGCAUGGUUGUCGUCAGCUCGUGUCGUGAGAUGUUGGGUUAAGUCCCGCAACGAGCGCAACCCUUAUUACUAGUUGCCAUCGUUAAGUUGGGCACUCUAGUGAGACUGCCGGUGAUAAACCGGAGGAAGGUGGGGAUGACGUCAAAUCAUCAUGCCCCUUAUGACCUGGGCUACACACGUGCUACAAUGGAUGGUACAACGAGUCGCCAACCCGCGAGGGUGCGCUAAUCUCUUAAAACCAUUCUCAGUUCGGAUUGCAGGCUGCAACUCGCCUGCAUGAAGUCGGAAUCGCUAGUAAUCGCGGAUCAGCACGCCGCGGUGAAUACGUUCCCGGGCCUUGUACACACCGCCCGUCACACCACGGAAGUUGGGAGUACCCAAAGUAGGUUGCCUAACCGCAAGGAGGGCGCUUCCUAAGGUAAGACCGAUGACUGGGGGAAGUCGUAACAAGGUAGCCGUAAUCUAGA
RNAcentral lists this ribosomal RNA (594 nucleotides) under uncultured Lactococcus sp. Its description in RNAcentral is "bacterial SSU rRNA". It matches the Rfam family "Bacterial small subunit ribosomal RNA", at positions 913 to 1511 of the family's 1533-position model. Lineage: Bacteria; Bacillati; Bacillota; Bacilli; Lactobacillales; Streptococcaceae. The record is from RNAcentral.